GCGACUGUUUUACGUGCGCAUCAUCAAGUUUGCCCCAAUUGCUUAGAGAGCAUCAUUGGGCUUGGUUUGGUUUCUGUGUUGGCUACCUACUUGGAAGAAAGUGUCCCUUAUGUUUGUAUUUGUAUCGGCUUGCACCCUUUUAGGGGAAUGCUCGUUGAUCUUAGUAAUGCUUAUCAUAUUCCAUUGUCAUGCUAUCACUGUGUAGUGGUGGCAAUGGCCUAUGUGUAAGUAUUCGUAAUCUUGGAUGCGGAAUGCGGAAUUGGGUAUUGGGUUGAAUAAACCUUUUAUCCCAAGCAGAGCAUCUUAUGCUCGGCACGUACGACACUUGCAAUUGCGUUGACCUUUCCCAACUUCAUUGAUGGGGGGGGGGGCUCAUGCGAUGC
RNAcentral lists this unclassified non-coding RNA (383 nucleotides) under Bensoniella oregona. Its description in RNAcentral is "partial external transcribed spacer". The record is from RNAcentral. Lineage: Eukaryota; Viridiplantae; Streptophyta; Magnoliopsida; Saxifragales; Saxifragaceae.